UGGCCUAUUCUGGUUUUUCAGAGCCCAAAAUCCCAUCACAAAGUGGCCUAUUCUGGCUUUUCAGAGCCCAAAAUGCAUCACAAAGACCCAAUUUGGACUAUUCCGAACCCAAAAUCCAUCACAAAGACCCCAAUUCUGGACUUAUCUGAGCCCAAAACAAUGAAGAAGGCCCCAAUUCUGGCUUUUUUGAGCCCAAAAUCCAUCACAAAGACCCAAUUCUGGUUAUUCUGAGCCCAAAAUCCAUUACAAAGACCCAAUUCUGGCUUUUCUGAACCCAAAAUCCAUUACAAAGACCCAAUUCUGGCUUUUCUGAGCCCCAAAUCCAUCACAAAGUGCCCAAUUCUGGCUUUUUUGAGCCCAAAAUCCAUCACAAAGUGCCCAAUUCUGGCUUUU
Molecule: long non-coding RNA, 393 nt
Organism: Coturnix japonica (Japanese quail)
Lineage: Eukaryota; Metazoa; Chordata; Aves; Galliformes; Phasianidae
Source: Ensembl